GAGAGAAAGAAGCCCACACCAAGGGUUGUCCCAGGCUCCCGGUGUGUUUGCUACUGCCUGCUGCACAGAGUUCCGACAGGGUCCUCCCUUAACAAGCAAAGAGGAAAAUCAUCUCUGUUGCGAUGCCAGUGUGACUCGGCAAAGUUGCAUCUAGCGUGCGCGUCUGUCCUGGCUGAGGGGGGCUGAGAGAGGCUUUGCUGCCCUUUUCCCCCUUGAAUACGAGUUUCUCGUGACUUUCCACCACCCUGAACUCACAAUGAUCCGUCAAGGACCUUCUCCUAUUUCCCUCCCAGCACCAUCCUAAUUUCCUCCCUUCAGUGGCUUCUCUCCUCUUCAUGAUCACUUUAUCCCUUCCUGGACCAGAGGAAAUAACGAGAGACAGUGCCUCCUCCGCUGAAAAUCCACAGCCAGGCAUGGACCCCUCCUCACCACCUCCUACUAUGGUACUUAAAGACCUCACCAUGAAAAACUGGAUUGCAUAAAGGACUGCUCCUGGACAGAGACCCCUGGCUUGUUAUAUUUGCACAACUGGACAGUUUUCAUGGCAUAGAUUGGAUGGACUCUGUCAGUGACAGGAGGCAAUGUCCCUCCUGAAGGAGGGAAGGGAGUCUCUUCACUAGCAAAUACUCCAGCCAUUGGGGAAAAAAAAAAAGAUCCUGUGAUUCCAACCAUGGAACUGCUACUCAAAACAACUGCAAGAAAGAGGAAGUAGAGACCACGCGAGGUAUUUCCGUGUAAGACUGUUCCACCUUGAGAAAAGAAGCAAAAUGUGGAAAUGGGUCCUUGGCUGGAGAAUGGAUUAAAGAGUCUUUGGUCUCUUUCUGAAUUGUGCUACUUAAUUUAUCAUCACCACCAUCAUCAUCAUCUUUGUUGUCAUCAUCUCCAUCAACCGUGCUUCCUACAUGCCAGAAGUGUUGUGUUCCCUGGUUGAUCUCAUUUAAUUCUUCUGACAGCAAUAUGAGGCCUUGGCAGCUAUGCAGAGCAUUGCAGUGAGAAGCUGCUGUCUUGGGGGAGCUUUACUGCUUUUGGAGAUUUAAUACUGAUCUUGAACUUGAGGUGUGUCUGCAUGAACUUCUAUGCACCAGAAACUUUCAUUUCAAUGCUGAAAUGUGGGGUAAGAUUUUGGUGAAAUUUUAAACAAAUUUAGGGAACUACCUUAAGUAAAUUCAACCAGGUAUCACAUGCAGUCUUACUUUGGAAUUGUGAAAAAAAAAUAAUAAUAAGAGUGGAAAUAUGGAAAGAGAAUGCAAUAGCUACAACAGCAUAAACAUUGACUAUUAAGAAUCAAAAUAAUAUUCAUAAAAAAUAUUCAUUAAGUUAGGUGUCAACAUUUGUAAGAAAUGCACUGUUCCUGGCUUCGAGGUGGAAGAAGGCCGCCACAAGCUAAGGAAUGUGGGCCGCAUCUAGAAGCUGGAAAAGGCAAGAAAACAGUCUCCUCUAGAGCCUCUAGAAGGAAUACAGUCCUGGUGACACCUUGGUCUUGGCCCAGUGAGACCCAUAUCAGAUUUCUAACCUACAGAACUAUAAGAUAGUACAUUUAUGUUUUCUUAAGCCACUAGGUGUGUAAUCAUUUGUUACAACAGCCACAGGAAAGGAAUGCAUGUAUGGUUCUCUACAUUUUUGGUCUCUGCAGAGACAGGGUGGAUGGGGCCAGGAGACUAGCUCUGGCACUUAGAAUGGGGGAUGGGUGUGAUUUGCCCCCUACCUGGGCAAUGUGCCAUGACCUCUCUCUCUGGUGGUUGGACAGCUGAAUGCAGAGGGUCAGUAGAGGGUCAAGGAGGCUCUAGUGGAUGGCAGAGUCGCUGUUUGCAAGGAGCCUUGAAUCUGAAGUCACCACUUGAAAGAGUGUUGCCUCUGGGAGCUGCCCCAACCAAAUGCAUGAGUCUUAAUCCCCUGAGUUCCCAGAGUUCAUUUUUCCCUGCAGCAGAGCUGCUUCUAGUCUAACUCCAGAAUCUCCAAAUCAGAUUAUUUUUUCUUUUUAAAAAAUUUUUAAAGAGUUUUUUUUCUUUUUUUUUUUUUAAGGGAUCAAACUUCUACAUGGGCAAAGUCAGAACUUUGUUGGGCUUCCUUAGCCUUAGUUUGUAAUUCAGUCUUUUUAAAAUUUCACGUAGCACAUGGAGAGCAUUGUAAUCAAAUUUCUAUACUUAGGGCUUGUGACGGUCUUAAACCAGUGCUACUUUCUUGGCCACGGAGGCACCCACAGCCUCACAGUGCAGACAGACAGCUCAUUGGUCUCUUACAGGCUCUUCUGGCCUUUUCCUAAAUAUGCUCUCCAGUGCCAUAAAUUUCUACUUUUGUCCAGAGAUUCCUUUUUCUUGGAAUAUGUACCCCACCCCUUCCUUUAAGCUCAGCUCAAUUCCAUCUCCUUCAAGAUGCCUUUCUAGAUUCUCCAAGGAAUAUGAAUUUCCUUCCUCCAUGAUUCCCUGUGUUCUUUCGUAAUACUUAUUAAUGGAUCCCUGUCCUCUCUACCCAAGUACACACACAGGCACAUCCUAAAAUGUAGCUUCCAGAAGGCAAAUAUCAUCCCAGGCUCACUGUGGUCCUUCACCAUAAGAUAGUGCUCUAGGGCAGUAAAUGCUCUGUGCAUUUGCAAAUUUUAGUAAAACCUCUGCGGCUGGUGGAAGAGUUUUGUUUUGUUUGUUUAAGCAGACAGGAUCACGUGGUGCCUUUUAUAUUAUCAUAUAGGACUGGUCCAUUUAUAUAGAGCAAGGGUCCCCCAAGAUUCCUUGUUCAUCAAAAUCUGAAUGACUAAACCAGGCACUGUGCUAAAGGGCCGGAGCACCACGUACCCUGUGGAACUAUCAAAUGUCACCCACUAGGACAGCUGCAAACCACAUAUAGAGUGUACCUACUACGUACCAGACUUUGGGCAGGUGAUCGACAUCAGCCUGAGCCUCUGGCCAGUCCUUCACUUUCUAGGACUUCUUCCCUUUCAGGGAAAUUUGGCCUCCCAGCAUCUGGGGAACAAGCUGCUUAUUUGCUAAUAUCUGUUUGCACAUCAGGGUUUUUUACUUUUAGGAACAGUUUGUCUCUCUGGCAGAUCUCCGUGUUCCCAUACCGUUGUUUAUGAUGUAACUAAGCAUCUAUCGUAUAGAAUUGAACUCAAUUCUCUUUUGAAACUGCAAGAGAUCUAACCCGCUCAUUUUCUUUCCAUUUAACAUACGAGAGGGGUGUGUAGGAGCAGUUUAUUAAGGGGGAGCUGUUUAUUGAGGGAUCCUGGGGCUAAUCCCAGCCCAUUAUUUCUCCAUUUCCUUACAGCUCACUGAGAAGGGUGGGAGAGAACAGGAACGGGGAGACUAUUCUUUCCUGAGUGAUUGUUUGGCCAGUCCACAGGGAUCCUGACUUUCCUACACCCAUCAGGGAAGUAGCAUCCAGAGGGUCAUUCCAGGGACAGGGCUGGCUGUGUCAGGCUGUAAUGAAUGGUUCAGACUGAGAAGUGGAACUUGGCCAACAACAGGGAAAGACAAUAAUCAUUGGAAAAUUUAGGCAUUGAGAAUAAGAUCCAUGUCUGUCUUAUGUCCCCUGGGUACCAACACAAUGACUUGGCUUAGUAACUGCCCCAUAAUGUUUAAAUUAUGUUCAGUGAAUGAGUGAAUGAAUGGAUGCCGUAUUCUUGCUUCCUUCUCCAAACACUCUUUAUAAAAUUACGGCAUCUCAUUCAUGUCUCCUCUAUAAAUCGGGAAUUUGGUGAGGCAUGCUGUUUAUUGCUUAGGAAUCAUUUUACUUAAUCACAAAGGUCCCAGGGGUUCAGGCGGGGAAAAAAAAAAAAAAGCAGGUUUGGGAGAAAGAGUAGGAUAGGAUCUUCCUAGAGAUUUUUCUUUCCUUUUUCUUUAAUGGGCGCACCCAUGGAAGAUGGAAAUUCCCAGGCCAGGUAUUGAAGCCCAGCCUCAGCUGUGGCCAGAUCCUUUAACCCACUGCACCAGGCUGGGGAUUGAACCUGCACCUCGACAGUGACCCAAGCUGCUGCAGUGGGAUUCUUAACCCAAGGUGCCACAGCACAGUGAGGCUAGAGCCCCACUUCAACUCCUAUAGAGUUGAAAGCUCUAUAGGAGUUUCUGUUAUGGCUCAGUGGUAACAAACCCUACUAGUAUCCAUGAGGACGCUGGGUUUGAUAAGCGGGUUAAGGCUCUGGUGUUGCCGUGAGCUGUGGUGUAGGUCACAGACACGGUUCAGACCUGCUGUUGCUAUGGCUGUGGUGUAGGCUGGCAGCUACAGCUCCAAUUCGACCUCCAACCUGGGAACUUUCAUAUGCUGCAGGUUUGGCCCCCAAAAAGACCAAAAAAAAAAAAAAA
RNAcentral lists this long non-coding RNA (4292 nucleotides) under Sus scrofa (pig). Its description in RNAcentral is "lncRNA (ENSSSCG00055009868.1)". Lineage: Eukaryota; Metazoa; Chordata; Mammalia; Artiodactyla; Suidae. The record is from RNAcentral.